UCCGGUUUGUCACCGGCAGUCAUCCUAGAGUGCCCAGCUCUACCUGCUGGCAACUAAGAUCAAGGGUUGCGCUCGUUGCGGGACUUAACCCAACAUCUCACGACACGAGCUGACGACAACCAUGCACCACCUGUCACUCUGUCCCCGAAGGGAAAAUCCUAUCUCUAGGAGUGUCAGAGGAUGUCAAGACCUGGUAAGGUUCUUCGCGUUGCUUCGAAUUAAACCACAUGCUCCACCGCUUGUGCGGGCCCCCGUCAAUUCCUUUGAGUUUCAGUCUUGCGACCGUACUCCCCAGGCGGAGUGCUUAAUGCGUUAACUUCAGCACUAAAGGGCGGAAACCCUCUAACACUUAGCACUCAUCGUUUACGGCUAGGACUAC
RNAcentral lists this unclassified non-coding RNA (379 nucleotides) under Bacillus sp. (in: firmicutes). RNAcentral describes it as "Bacillus sp. (in: Bacteria) contains 16S-23S intergenic spacer region". The record is from RNAcentral. Lineage: Bacteria; Bacillati; Bacillota; Bacilli; Caryophanales; Bacillaceae.